This 253-nucleotide ribosomal RNA is filed under the name uncultured bacterium. RNAcentral describes it as "partial 16S ribosomal RNA". It matches the Rfam family "Bacterial small subunit ribosomal RNA", at positions 524 to 776 of the family's 1533-position model. The record is from RNAcentral.
UACAGAGGUCUCAAGCGUUGUUCGGAUUCAUUGGGCGUAAAGGGUGCGUAGGCGGCGCGGUAAGUCGGGUGUGAAAUCUCGGGGCUUAACUCCGAAACUGCAUUCGAUACUGCCGUGCUUGAGGACUGGAGAGGAGACUGGAAUUUACGGUGUAGCAGUGAAAUGCGUAGAUAUCGUAAGGAAGACCAGUGGCGAAGGCGGGUCUCUGGGCAGUAACUGACGCUGAGGAGCGAAAGCGUGGGGAGCGAACAGG